CUGGAGAUCUGCUCUGCUGGAGUUUUGUAAGUGAGCCCAGGAUAUGGGUUGGCCUGGACUUUUUCAUCUUGCAGCAUGCAGUGGAAGACAAUAAAGCACUUUGAGGAAUGAUAAUCUUCUCUCUCAGUGGUUAGGAAGCAGAGCUUGGGCUUACCAGAAUACAGAAGUUAUCCUUUGGACGAAAGAGACUUAGAUAUCCUAGCACACAGCUGUGGCCAGACACCACUGAGUCCUCUGCUGAGUCCUCUGGGACCACAGAGAAUGAGGACAGAAAAAUUAGCAAAGAUGAACUGCUUCCUUCUGGCUUAGCAACUAACGCUUUUGAACCAGUUCCCAAAGUAAGUUCUGCUGGAUCUUAACACUAUUUUCUCUGAUUAAGGGACUAAGAGUUUUGUGUGCCAGAGAACUGAGGUGAUGUGAGAAGUAUAGAGUGUUCAGGAGUGCUGAACUCUUUUUUUAAUCAUGAAUUAUGCAAACAGAUGUUACAAAAGGGAAAUUAAGCUAGUGCCAGUAUCCUCAUUUGUCAUAUGUAUUCUAUAUUGAGCGAAGGCAAACUUGCAUAUGACAGCUGGGAUGUUCUUAUAUGUCAUACACAGAACAUGUAAUCUUCAUAUAUGAAGUUUGACCAAUUUGCCUCUUCUUCCAUAGAACAGAAUUUGCAAAGCCUGAUAAGCAGCAUUCAGACUAUAACAGCAAGCUACAGACAGAUAGGAAAGGCUUGUGUAUAUAUGUGUAGUAAUUUCUGCAAAGAUAUAUUGCUAACUAACAGCAUUUCAUAAAAUCCCCUGCUUGAAAAGAGCACUGAGGUACAACCAGGUUCAAAAUCCUCUGCAUUUAUCAAGAGUGAGAGGACCUGGAAGAUCUGGAAAAUAUAUUUGCAUAUAUGAUGUACAUGGCUGAUAGAAAAAUAUAUAUUACCCUUGGUAAAUAACAGAAAUAAUGUUCGCUUAUAAAAUCAGCAGAGCCUUCAAGAUGCAACUUAACUCUCAGCAGAUUAGAAAGGAGAUUUUCUCUUUAGCAACCUAGAAUACUAUUCCGACAAAACAGAUUAUUUUACUACUUUAGAAUCUAAUUGUGGCAUUGUAGUGGAUUGGUUUGUUGUUGUUUUUUAUUUGUUUGUUUGCUUUCAUAAGCAAAAAGUGAAAUAUCUCAAUAAUAAUUAACAUCAAACAUUAAUUGCCAGGGAAGAUAUAUAAAUAACUGUUAUUUGAUCCACUUUUGCACUAUGCGUCUCAAGAAAAUUGCUCAAGUCUGGAUUUGUGUUUGAUGCCAACUACAUAAAUCAUUGUGAAAACAACACUACAAAAAAUUUUUUAAAAACUUAGUUUUUCAUAUCAUAUGGUCUAUUAAUGUGGCUUCAGAUUUAAAUGUUAAAAAUAGCUGUACCAUUCAUCAGAGAAUAAAAGGGAAAGUCUAUUUUUUUUUUUUAAUUUUUUUCUGCAUUGGCUUGGAGUCCAUCCACAUUUUCUUCCAAGCAUUUUCCUCUGGGUUAUGCUCAGGAACACAAGUUUUGCAUUCAAGUUCUUUAGAAGCAUACAUUCCCUUUUCUAUCAAGUUUUUGCUUUCCCAGUAAGAAAAUUGUUGCAAUGUUCCUACCACAGUGAAUUUAUCUGAACAGAUGACUACUUGUGCUCAGUUUUAUGUGAGACUGUGACAUUGUGAAUUUUUGAUUGAUUAAUUUUCUAGCAAGAAGCUUUUCAACAGUUUUGGAUUAAAAGGAUCAUGGUUGGAUUGGUUUCUAACAGCCAUGAACUUUAUUAAAUAUUUUUCCUUCUACAUUCUUCUUUUAUUCUACUUUUACAUUCUACUUUUCUGCAAGAAAUUUUAAUAAUUUAAUAUGGAGACUUUUUCCUGGCUUUAACUUCUCCUGCUAUUCUUUCUCUCAACUAAGAUGUUUCUGCUCCGUGUCCAUAUACUUGUACUCAUU
Molecule: long non-coding RNA, 1927 nt
Organism: Tympanuchus pallidicinctus (lesser prairie-chicken)
Lineage: Eukaryota; Metazoa; Chordata; Aves; Galliformes; Phasianidae
Exons: 4
Source: RefSeq, a predicted model, not a curated record